CCUACGGGUGGCAGCAGUGAGGAAUAUUGGUCAAUGGGCGAGAGCCUGAACCAGCCAAGUAGCGUGAACGAUGACUUCCCUACGGGUUGUAAGCUUCUUUUAUAAAGGAAUAAAGUGCGGCACGUGUGCCUUUUUGUAUGUACUUUAUGGAUAAGGAUCGGCUAACUCCGUGCCAGCAGCCGCGGUAAUACGGAGGAUCCGAGCGUUAUCCGGAUUUAUUGGGUUUAAGGGGGGCGUAGGCGGAGCGUUAGGUCAGUGGUCAAAUUGAGGGGCCCAACCCCUUCCCGCCAUUGAAACUGGCGCGCUGGAGUGGAAGAGAAGUAGGCGGAAUGCGUGGUGUAGCGGUGAAAUGCAUAGAUAUCACGCAGAACCCCGAUGGCGAAGGCAGCAUGCCGGAUUCCGACUGACGCUGAAGCACGAAAGCGUGGGGAUCGAACAGGAUUAGAUACCCUUGUAGUC
This 459-nucleotide ribosomal RNA is filed under the name uncultured bacterium. RNAcentral's name for it is "partial 16S ribosomal RNA". It matches the Rfam family "Bacterial small subunit ribosomal RNA", at positions 338 to 795 of the family's 1533-position model. The record is from RNAcentral.